Non-coding RNA from Stachybotrys chartarum IBT 40288, 86 nucleotides. The record is from Rfam. NCBI's taxonomy places the organism in Eukaryota, Fungi, Ascomycota, Sordariomycetes, Hypocreales, Stachybotryaceae.
GCCCCUAUAGCUCAGUGGUAGAGCGUUAUACUUGUAUCCACUGCAAGAUCAUAUAAAGGUCCGUAGUUCAAACCUGCGUGGGGGCU